Molecule: RNA transcript, 917 nt
Organism: Prosopis cineraria
Lineage: Eukaryota; Viridiplantae; Streptophyta; Magnoliopsida; Fabales; Fabaceae
Gene name: protein NUCLEAR FUSION DEFECTIVE 6, mitochondrial-like
Exons: 5
Source: RefSeq, a predicted model, not a curated record
UACAGAGGAUUUCUCAUUUCCCCCUUUUAGCAGAAAGCUCUUCCUUGCAAGCUCCUGUUCUGCUUCCCGAGCAUUCCUCCAGAACGAUGUCCGCCGCCGCCAGGUCCUUCAUUCGGUCCGCUGCAUCCCGAAACAUUAGGAAGUUAGAUUUGGCUACGGGCGCUAGAGUAAGUCGAUCGACAUGUUCGCCGUUUUCGACCCUAAAGCAGAAGUCGCUGUCUAAACGCAUCUUCAGGUUACCUGUGGAGUUGAGCUGUUGUGUGGAAAUGAUGCUCCCAUAUCACACUGCCACUGCUUCCGCAUUGCUCACCUCCAUGCUCUCCGUAUCUCACCAAUCGUAUGGUUGGAACCCUGAAGGAUUGGAAAGUUACAAAAUGAUGGCUGAUUGUUGUUUGCGGGUGAGAUAUUCUUGCGACUACAUUUCAUGGAUUUCGCUGAACUUUGCCAGGCCUACUGGGAGGGAUAUCGUUGUUCCCUUGUUUUGAAGUGAAGUUUCUGAAAACUAAAAUGCACAAGCAUCCAGAGCAUGCUAUAAAGCUGGAAAUGAGUGUUCUAUUAUUAAAAUUUUCUUUUGGCCAUAAUUACUACAUACAGUUGAAAUGUUUCUUGACUGCAAAUUAAAUGAUACAUUCCUCUCCGUUCUUGUGAAUAUGUUUGCCGGGCGAAUACACAACUGAUUUGGAUGAUAUGCUAGUUGCAAGGCUCAAGACCUGUUUCUCGCCUAGGGUUUUUGAAUGGAGAUUUCUGGGAGCAAGGAGCCCGCCGCCUGUAGAUGUUUUUUCAUUGGGACUGACCAUGGCUGUUGAUGUAAAUAAUCACAGAGAUACGAAGGAAACAAUUUUUUUUUCCCUUUUCAGAAUGUAAUAUUCGUAUGAGGAGUCUUGUUGAUAUGAUAAACUAGUGUCCAAUUUCAUAUA